Molecule: ribosomal RNA, 200 nt
Filed under: uncultured bacterium
Lineage: Bacteria
Description: partial 16S ribosomal RNA
Rfam family: Bacterial small subunit ribosomal RNA
Source: RNAcentral
CGGAUCGGAGUCUGNAACCCGACUCCGUGAAGCUGGAUUCGCUAGUAAUCGCGCAUCAGCCAUGGCGCGGUGAAUACGUUCCCGGACCUUGUACACACCGCCCGUCAAGCCAUGGGAGCCGGGGGGUGCUUGAAGUGCGUCGCCGCAAGGCGCGCCCUAGAGCAAAACCGGUGACUGGGGCUAAGUCGUAACAAGGUAAC